GACGAACGCUGGCGGCGUGCUUAACACAGGCAAGUCGAACGGAAAGGCCCUGCUUUUGUGGGGUGCUCGAGUGGCGAACGGGUGAGUAACACGUGAGUAACCUGCCCUUGACUUUGGGAUAACUUCAGGAAACUGGGGCUAAUACCGGAUAGGAGCUCCUGCUGCAUGGUGGGGGUUGGAAAGUUUCGGCGGUUGGGGAUGGACUCGCGGCUUAUCAGCUUGUUGGUGGGGUAGUGGCUUACCAAGGCUUUGACGGGUAGCCGGCCUGAGAGGGUGACCGGCCACAUUGGGACUGAGAUACGGCCCAGACUCCUACGGGAGGCAGCAGUGGGGAAUAUUGCACAAUGGGCGGAAGCCUGAUGCAGCAACGCCGCGUGCGGGAUGACGGCCUUCGGGUUGUAAACCGCUUUCGCCUGUGACGAAGCGUGAGUGACGGUAAUGGGUAAAGAAGCACCGGCUAACUACGUG
RNAcentral lists this ribosomal RNA (468 nucleotides) under uncultured bacterium. RNAcentral describes it as "partial 16S ribosomal RNA". It matches the Rfam family "Bacterial small subunit ribosomal RNA", at positions 28 to 507 of the family's 1533-position model. The record is from RNAcentral.